CACGGAGGAGGCAAGCGUUAGCCGGAAUUAUUGGGCGUAAAGGGUGCGUAGGCGACUGGUCAAGUCUGGGGUCAAAGGCCACAGCUCAACUGUGGGAAGGCCCUGGAAACUGACCGGCUAGAGUGAGGUAGGGGUUGCGGGAAUUCCCGGUGUAGCGGUGAAAUGCGUAGAGAUCGGGAAGAACACCUGAGGAGGAAGCGCGCAACUGGGCCUCAACUGACGCUGAGGUACGAAAGCUAGGGGAGCGAAUGGG
Molecule: ribosomal RNA, 253 nt
Filed under: uncultured bacterium
Lineage: Bacteria
Description: partial 16S ribosomal RNA
Rfam family: Bacterial small subunit ribosomal RNA
Source: RNAcentral